CCUACGGGAGGCUGCAGUGGGGAAUAUUUCGCAAUGGGCGAAAGCCUGACGCAGCGACGCCGCGUGAGGGAUGAAGGUCUUCGGAUCGUAAACCUCUGUCAGCAGGGAAGAACGGUCACUGUGCUAAUCAGCAGGGAAUUGACGGGACCUGCAAAGGAAGCACCGGCUAACUCCGUGCCAGCAGCCGCGGUAAUACGGAGGGUGCGAGCGUUAAUCGGAAUUACUGGGCGUAAAGCGCUCGUAGGCGGUAUGUCAAGUCAAGGGUGAAAUCCCCGCGCUCAACGGGGGAACUGCCUUGGAAACUGGCAACCUGGAGUGUGUGAGAGGAUAGUGGAAUUCCAGGUGUAGGAGUGAAAUCCGUAGAUAUCUGGAGGAACAUCAGUGGCGAAGGCGACUAUCUGGCACAUAACUGACGCUGAGGAGCGAAAGCGUGGGUAGCAAACAGGAUUAGAUACCCUAGUAGUC
This 465-nucleotide ribosomal RNA is filed under the name uncultured bacterium. RNAcentral's name for it is "partial 16S ribosomal RNA". It matches the Rfam family "Bacterial small subunit ribosomal RNA", at positions 338 to 795 of the family's 1533-position model. The record is from RNAcentral.